MicroRNA precursor from Oryza sativa Japonica Group (Japanese rice), 202 nucleotides. It matches the Rfam family "MIR812 microRNA precursor family". Lineage: Eukaryota; Viridiplantae; Streptophyta; Magnoliopsida; Poales; Poaceae. The record is from Rfam.
AAUAGAUGACGUCGUUGACUUUUUGUCACACGUUUGACCAUUCGUUUUAUUCAAAAAAUUUAUGUAAUUAUAAUUUAUUUUGUUGAGUUGUUUUAACACUCAAAGUACUUUAAGCAUGAUUUAUACCUUAUACAUUUGCAUAAAAUUUUUGAAUAAAAUAAAUGGUCAAACAUGUGUUCAAAAGUCAACGGUGGCAUCUAUU